RNAcentral lists this ribosomal RNA (492 nucleotides) under uncultured bacterium. RNAcentral's name for it is "partial 16S ribosomal RNA". It matches the Rfam family "Bacterial small subunit ribosomal RNA", at positions 28 to 507 of the family's 1533-position model. The record is from RNAcentral.
GAUGAACGCUAGCUACAGGCUUAACACAUGCAAGUCGAGGGGAAACGACAUCGAAAGCUUGCUUUUGAUGGGCGUCGACCGGCGCACGGGUGAGUAACGCGUAUCCAACCUGCCCACCACUUGGGGAUAACCUUGCGAAAGUAAGACUAAUACCCAAUGAUAUCUCUAGAAGACAUCUGAAAGAGAUUAAAGAUUUAUCGGUGAUGGAUGGGGAUGCGUCUGAUUAGCUUGUUGGCGGGGUAACGGCCCACCAAGGCAACGAUCAGUAGGGGUUCUGAGAGGAAGGUACCCCACAUUGGAACUGAGACACGGUCCAAACUCCUACGGGAGGCAGCAGUGAGGAAUAUUGGGCAAUGGACGAGAGUCUGAACCAGCCAAGUAGCGUGCAGGAAGACGGCCCUAUGGGUUGUAAACUGCUUUUAUAAGGGAAUAAAGUGAGUCUCGUGAGACUUUUUGCAUGUACCUUAUGAAUAAGGACCGGCUAAUUCCGUG